RNAcentral lists this ribosomal RNA (373 nucleotides) under uncultured organism. RNAcentral describes it as "bacterial SSU rRNA". It matches the Rfam family "Bacterial small subunit ribosomal RNA", at positions 527 to 896 of the family's 1533-position model. The record is from RNAcentral.
CGGGGGAGCAAGCGUUGUUCGGAUUUACUGGGCGUAAAGGGCGCGUAGGCGGCCACCGCAAGUCGACUGUGAAAUCUCCGGGCUUAACCCGGGAAGGUCAGCCGAUACUGCGGGGCUAGAGUGCAGAAGGGGCAACUGGAAUUCUCGGUGUAGCGGUGAAAUGCGUAGAUAUCGAGAGGAACACCUGCGGCGAAGGCGGGUUGCUGGGCUGACACUGACGCUGAGGCGCGAAAGCUAGGGGAGCGAACGGGAUUAGAUACCCCGGUAGUCCUAGCCUUAAACGAUGAAUGCUUGGUGUCUGGGGUUUUAUAGUCCCCGGGUGCCGUCGCUAACGCUUUAAGCAUUCCGCCUGGGGAGUACGGUCGCAAGACUG